UGCUUGCACGAUUUAAUACUUAGUGGCGGACGGGUGAGUAACGCGUAAGAAUCUACCUUUUGGCGAGGGACAACCACUGGAAACGGUGGCUAAUACCUCAUAUAACUGAGAAGUGAAAGAUGAAAAUCACCAAGAGAUGAGCUUGCGUCUGAUUAGCUAGUUGGUAAGGUAAUGGCUUACCAAGGCGACGAUCAGUAGCUGGUCUGAGAGGAUGAUCAGCCACACUGGGACUGAGACACGGCCCAGACUCC
Molecule: ribosomal RNA, 251 nt
Filed under: uncultured bacterium
Lineage: Bacteria
Description: partial 16S ribosomal RNA
Rfam family: Bacterial small subunit ribosomal RNA
Source: RNAcentral